UUAACUCAAAUUUGUAUGGAGUUGGAACAGCGCCCCUAGCGGCAAACGUAGGCAAACGUUCCAACUCCAUACAAAUUCUCACAA
Molecule: microRNA precursor, 84 nt
Filed under: Bombyx mori (domestic silkworm)
Lineage: Eukaryota; Metazoa; Arthropoda; Insecta; Lepidoptera; Bombycidae
Description: mir-2807 microRNA precursor family
Rfam family: mir-2807 microRNA precursor family
Source: Rfam by way of RNAcentral